AAGACUCUACUUUCAGGAAUCAUUUCUAUAGUUCAUUCCUAGAGGUUUCUCUGACAGUGUAGACCAGAAGUCCCCAGUCCCUGGG
This is a small nucleolar RNA of Callithrix jacchus (white-tufted-ear marmoset), 85 nucleotides long. Its record names the gene U3. It matches the Rfam family "Small nucleolar RNA U3". Rfam says of the family: Small nucleolar RNAs (snoRNAs) are involved in the processing and modification of rRNA in the nucleolus. There are two main classes of snoRNAs: the box C/D class, and the box H/ACA class. NCBI's taxonomy places the organism in Eukaryota, Metazoa, Chordata, Mammalia, Primates, Cebidae. The record is from Ensembl.